AACUGGCACUUCGACUAGUGCUUAACUUGCACUUAUAGCAGUUACAUUCCUGCACUUCGUUUUUAUUUCCUAUUUCGUUUUUCUAUUUCUUAUGUAAAGUAGUAUUUAUUGUUACACUAGGUCUCUAUUGCUCUUAGCUUGACUGUUCUAUCCCUUGUACGACGCUUUGGACAAAAGUGUCUGCUAAAUGACUAAAUGUAAUGUACACGAACACUGCAAAUGUAAGUGAAUAAAUAAAUAAGCACUAAACUCAAUCACGUUGAUAUAGCUAUAGUGGAAUAGAAUGGACACAUCUACAUCCUGCAACAGUCCAUCUCUGCACCGUUCAAGUCAUAGACAUAUCACUACGGUUGCGUGCCCUUAUAAGGAGCUGGCAGGGCGUGUAUGUAUGCAAAUUCAGGAGCACGAGAACGCGCUUUCAAUUUAAGAAAACUCUUCCGGGGGAGCACAGCCCAGAAAACUUCUGCUGCGUAGGACCACAUUUUCAAGCGUGCAUGAAUUUGGCGGAUGUCUUUUGCUUACGUUGUUUUUCCGAAGCCCGUGUGGAGAGUUUCCGUGUCUCAAGGCAGGCAGAGACCCAAUCCCCCAUGGUGUCCCUGUGGUCUGUGUAUGACCAAGCCAUGGAACAUACCGGCAAGGCAGUUGGAGAAGAGAACCUUGCUGCAGCUUUAAAAAUGGCCACUGACACGGCAGGCAGUAUGAUAACUGCAGCAAGCGGGCUCCUAGAUACCUUCUUCAAUGGACCCUAAAAGUACCUCAGGACAUAUAGAUUUCUCUGGUCCCAGUGAUGUCAUCUUUGCUGAGCCAAAAAGGAUUCCAGUGCAUAUCUCACAAAUGAUUGUAAUGGAAUCCAUUCACUUUGAAUAAGACUGUCAAUGGGAUUUUCUUUUUUUCAAGAUCAGUUUGUUUUAAGUAUUAAAGUCAAUAUGAUGAAUAACACAAUGAAGUCAUCCACUUUUAUUUAGGCACAACGCCCUCCUUCACAAACCACAAAACACAUUUAAAAGGAGUUCUGACUGAAGUGAAGAUUGAAUAAUGAGAGAAUAUUGACUGGUGUACUUCCAGACAAAUGAAUGGCUGUUAUGUAGAAUAACAUGAAAAACAUCUCUGGGGAAUUUAUCUGUAGUGUAAUGCGCUUCAAAAUGAGACAUUAUGGGAGUCCCUCUGAGCUGCACCAGUUGUCUGUACUUUGAGAUACAUAUCUGUGUGUACAGGCCUCAUCGACACC
Long non-coding RNA from Clupea harengus (Atlantic herring), 1228 nucleotides. The record is from Ensembl. NCBI's taxonomy places the organism in Eukaryota, Metazoa, Chordata, Actinopteri, Clupeiformes, Clupeidae.